UGGUACAGAAACAUCCAUAUCACCCUUGACUUUGGGGCCUUUAAGAUUUAGGUUUACAUCUGGCAUAGAGAUUUUUGGACCAGAUAUGGUAGGCAUUUUGAACUUGGGACCCUUGAUUUUUCCCUCUGGUCCCUCAAUGUCAAGAUCAGGCGUUUUGAUGUCAAAUUCAGGUCCUUUGAUGUCAACAUCAGCUUUCGGCAGAUUUACAUCAACAUCUGGGCCCUCAACUUUAGGACCCUUGAGUCCAAAUGAUGGCAUUUUUAUUUUCGGCAUCUUGAAGCCACCUUCAGGACCCUCUAUGUUAACAUCAGGACCUUCAAUGUC
Myxocyprinus asiaticus (Chinese sucker) is the source of this 324-nucleotide long non-coding RNA. RefSeq lists it as uncharacterized. NCBI's taxonomy places the organism in Eukaryota, Metazoa, Chordata, Actinopteri, Cypriniformes, Catostomidae. The transcript has 2 exons. The record is from RefSeq and is a predicted model, not a curated record.